Molecule: transfer RNA, 71 nt
Filed under: Astralium haematragum
Lineage: Eukaryota; Metazoa; Mollusca; Gastropoda; Trochida; Turbinidae
Description: tRNA-Thr
Source: RNAcentral
UUGUGAUAGAAGCAGAAAUUAUUUGCGUCGGUCUUGUAAAUCGAAGGGUAAAGAGUAACUUCUUUUUAUCA